RNAcentral lists this ribosomal RNA (301 nucleotides) under uncultured bacterium. RNAcentral describes it as "partial 16S ribosomal RNA". It matches the Rfam family "Bacterial small subunit ribosomal RNA", at positions 509 to 807 of the family's 1533-position model. The record is from RNAcentral.
CAGCAGCCGCGGUAAUACGAAGGGUGCAAGCGUUACUCGGAAUUACUGGGCGUAAAGCGUGCGUAGGUGGUGGUUUAAGUCCGUUGUGAAAGCCCUGGGCUCAACCUGGGAAUUGCAGUGGAUACUGGCUCGCUAGAGUGUGUCAGAGGAUGGUGGAAUUCCCGGUGUAGCGGUGAAAUGCGUAGAGAUCGGGAGGAACAUCAGUGGCGAAGGCGGCCAUCUGGGACAACACUGACGCUGAGGCACGAAAGCGUGGGGAGCAAACAGGAUUAGAGACCCCUGUAGUCCCUGUCUCUUAUAC